This 465-nucleotide ribosomal RNA is filed under the name Vreelandella stevensii. Its description in RNAcentral is "partial 16S ribosomal RNA". It matches the Rfam family "Bacterial small subunit ribosomal RNA", at positions 338 to 795 of the family's 1533-position model. The record is from RNAcentral. Lineage: Bacteria; Pseudomonadati; Pseudomonadota; Gammaproteobacteria; Oceanospirillales; Halomonadaceae.
CCUACGGGGUGCAGCAGUGGGGAAUAUUGGACAAUGGGCGAAAGCCUGAUCCAGCCAUGCCGCGUGUGUGAAGAAGGCCUUCGGGUUGUAAAGCACUUUCAGUGGGGAAGAAAGCCUUGGGGCUAAUACCCUCGAGGAAGGACAUCACCCACAGAAGAAGCACCGGCUAACUCCGUGCCAGCAGCCGCGGUAAUACGGAGGGUGCGAGCGUUUAUCGGAAUUACUGGGCGUAAAGCGCGCGUAGGCGGUCUGAUAAGCCGGUUGUGAAAGCCCCGGGCUCAACCUGGGAACGGCAUCCGGAACUGUCAGGCUAGAGUGCAGGAGAGGAAGGUAGAAUUCCCGGUGUAGCGGUGAAAUGCGUAGAGAUCGGGAGGAAUACCAGUGGCGAAGGCGGCCUUCUGGACUGACACUGACGCUGAGGUGCGAAAGCGUGGGUAGCAAACAGGAUUAGAUACCCCAGUAGUC